This 340-nucleotide ribosomal RNA is filed under the name uncultured Sphingobacteriales bacterium. RNAcentral's name for it is "bacterial SSU rRNA". It matches the Rfam family "Bacterial small subunit ribosomal RNA", at positions 1045 to 1382 of the family's 1533-position model. The record is from RNAcentral. Lineage: Bacteria; Pseudomonadati; Bacteroidota; Sphingobacteriia; Sphingobacteriales.
AUGGUUGUCGUCAGCUCGUGCCGUGAGGUGUCGGUUAAGUCCCAUAACGAGCGCAACCCUUACUGUUAGUUGCCAGCGGGUCAAGCCGGGAACGUCUAACGGGACUGCCACCGUAAGGUGGAGAGGAAGGUGGGGGAUGACGUCAAAUCAGCACGGCCCUUAUGUCCAGGGCUACACACGUGUUACAAUGGUCGGUACAAAGGGCAGCUACACCGCGAGGUGAUGCUAAUCUCUAAAGCCGGUCUCAGUUCGGAUCGAAGUCUGCAACCCGACUUCGUGAAGUUGGAUUCGCUAGUAAUCGCGCAUCAGCCAUGGCGCGGUGAAUACGUUCCCGGGCCUU